RNAcentral lists this long non-coding RNA (216 nucleotides) under Durio zibethinus. RNAcentral's name for it is "long non-coding RNA (DZIB_LNC001070)". Lineage: Eukaryota; Viridiplantae; Streptophyta; Magnoliopsida; Malvales; Malvaceae. The record is from RNAcentral.
UGGGAUUAAGGUUUUAGAUUUUUGGGACCAAGUUUAGAUUUCUAGAAAUUUUUGAAAAUUUUUGAAAAAAUUUGCGUUUUGAGGUUAAAUGUUUGAGCUUUCUAACAAGUUUUAUGGUGAGGUUUGAAUUUUUCGACAAAAUUCUAGUUAGUUUUGUAGAAAUCGAUGAAUUUUACAAUUUUUGGUGGGUUUUCUUAGCUCAUUUUAAAGAGAAAG